This 108-nucleotide transfer RNA is filed under the name Fusarium tricinctum. RNAcentral's name for it is "tRNA-Leu". It matches the Rfam family "tRNA". Rfam says of the family: Transfer RNA (tRNA) molecules are approximately 80 nucleotides in length. Their secondary structure includes four short double-helical elements and three loops (D, anti-codon, and T loops). The record is from RNAcentral. Lineage: Eukaryota; Fungi; Ascomycota; Sordariomycetes; Hypocreales; Nectriaceae.
GUCAAUAUGGCCGAGUGGUCUAAGGCGCUGCAUUCAAGAGAUUACUUACCUGGCUACCUGGGUCCUGCAGUAUCGAAAGAUUCUUGGGUUCGAAUCCCAAUGUUGACA